Molecule: ribosomal RNA, 250 nt
Filed under: uncultured bacterium
Lineage: Bacteria
Description: partial 16S ribosomal RNA
Rfam family: Bacterial small subunit ribosomal RNA
Source: RNAcentral
UAGGGAAUAUUGGACAAUGGGCGAAAGCCUGAUCCAGCCAUGCCGCGUGAGUGACGAAGGUCUUCGGAUUGUAAAGCUCUUUUCUGAGGGAAGAACAACCGGGUGAGGAAAUGCUCCCGGCUUGACGGUACCUCAGGAAUAAGGGACGGCUAACUCCGUGCCAGCAGCCGCGGUAAUACGGAGGUCCCAAGCGUUGUUCGGAAUUACUGGGCGUAAAGGGAGCGCAGGCGGACAGGUUAGUCUAAAGUGG